CCUACGGGUGGCAGCAGUGGGGAAUAUUGCACAAUGGGGGGAACCCUGAUGCAGCGACGCCGCGUGGGUGAGGAAGUACUUCGGUAUGUAAAGCCCUAUCAGCAGGGAAGAAAAUGACGGUACCUGACUAAGAAGCCCCGGCUAACUACGUGCCAGCAGCCGCGGUAAUACGUAGGGGGCAAGCGUUAUCCGGAUUUACUGGGUGUAAAGGGAGCGUAGACGGCGUGCCAAGUCUGAUGUGAAAGGCCGGGGCUCAACCCCGGGACUGCAUUGGAAACUGGCAUGCUGGAGUGCCGGAGGGGCAAGCGGAAUUCCUAGUGUAGCGGUGAAAUGCGUAGAUAUAUGGAAGAACACCAGUGGCGAAGGCGGCCGCCUGGCCUGUUGCUGACGCUGAGGCACGAAAGCGUGGGGAGCAAAUAGGAUUAGAUACCCUAGUAGUC
Molecule: ribosomal RNA, 440 nt
Filed under: uncultured bacterium
Lineage: Bacteria
Description: partial 16S ribosomal RNA
Rfam family: Bacterial small subunit ribosomal RNA
Source: RNAcentral